This 301-nucleotide ribosomal RNA is filed under the name uncultured bacterium. RNAcentral's name for it is "partial 16S ribosomal RNA". It matches the Rfam family "Bacterial small subunit ribosomal RNA", at positions 509 to 807 of the family's 1533-position model. The record is from RNAcentral.
CAGCCGCCGCGGGAAAACGUAGGGUGCAAGCGUUAAUCGGAAUUACUGGGCGUAAAGCGCACGUAGGCGGAUAUUUAAGUCAGGGGUGAAAUCCCGCAGCUCAACUGCGGAACUGCCUUUGAUACUGGGUAUCUUGAGUAUGGAAGAGGUUAGUGGAAUUGCGAGUGUAGAGGUGAAAUUCGUAGAUAUUCGCAGGAACACCAGUGGCGAAGGCGGCUAACUGGUCCAUAACUGACGCUGAGGUGCGAAAGCGUGGGGAGCAAACAGGAUUAGAUACCCCGGUAGUCCCUGUCUCUUAUAC